RNAcentral lists this long non-coding RNA (489 nucleotides) under Gallus gallus (chicken). Its description in RNAcentral is "lncRNA (ENSGALG00010021472.1)". The record is from RNAcentral. Lineage: Eukaryota; Metazoa; Chordata; Aves; Galliformes; Phasianidae.
CUUAGGGGUCUGCUCACGAAGCUUGAUUACGAGUAGAGCCCCACUUGUUUGGGAUCUUGCUCCAAAGGCAGUACAGGGAUGUCUACAGUGCUUACAGUAAGAGCUGGAAAAGAUGAAGCAACUAGAUAGCAGAAAAAUACUGAGUGGACACUGACCGUCUUAAUAAUUGGCAUCUGAUGCUACUUCUUGGGGAAGAUGAUAUUGGACAAAUCCAUGAUUAGAGCCUUUGUAAUGUAAACCAUCCCUACUGUGCUGGAAUUGAUUACACACAUUUGGUGAAGGAUGAUUUGAAUGCUCCACAGGUCUGACUUGAAGUUUUCAGGAGUGAGUCUGGGCACAUCAAUUUUGAGGUUUCUUCUGGGAUAAUUUGUGGUGAAAUAAAAGCAACAAAAGGAAAUUCCAUGUACCUCCUUCAGGUUCUGAUGGAAGAGGAAUCCUCCCGCAAAGGUAUCUCAAGAAUUAUUCUUUAUUUUGUCAUCUACUUCAGCC